This 466-nucleotide ribosomal RNA is filed under the name uncultured bacterium. Its description in RNAcentral is "partial 16S ribosomal RNA". It matches the Rfam family "Bacterial small subunit ribosomal RNA", at positions 28 to 506 of the family's 1533-position model. The record is from RNAcentral.
GAUGAACGCUGGCGGCGUGCUUAACACAUGCAAGUCGAACGGAAAGGCCCAAGCUUGCUUGGGUACUCGAGUGGCGAACGGGUGAGUAACACGUGGGUGAUCUGCCCUGCACUUCGGGAUAAGCCUGGGAAACUGGGUCUAAUACCGGAUAGGACCACUUCUUGGAUGUUGUGGUGGAAAGUUUUUUCGGUGUGGGAUGAGCUCGCGGCCUAUCAGCUUGUUGGUGGGGUAAUGGCCUACCAAGGCGUCGACGGGUAGCCGGCCUGAGAGGGUGUACGGCCACCUUGGGACUGAGAUACGGCCCAGACUCCUACGGGAGGCAGCCGUGGGGAAUAUUGCACAAUGGGCGCAAGCCUGAUGCAGCGACGCCGCGUGGGGGAUGACGGCCUUCGGGUUGUAAACUCCUUUCGCUAGGGACGAAGCGUUUUGUGACGGUACCUGGAGAAGAAGCACCGGCUAACUACGU